UACAGAGGUGGCAAGCGUUGUUCGGAAUUACUGGGCGUAAAGGGCGCGUAGGCGGCCUUCUUAGUCAGACGUGAAAUCCCUAGGCUUAACCUAGGAACUGCGUCUGAUACUGGAAGGCUCGAGUUCGGGAGAGGAAUGUGGAAUUCCAGGUGUAGCGGUGAAAUGCGUAGAUAUCUGGAGGAACACCGGUGGCGAAGGCGGCAUUCUGGACCGAAACUGACGCUGAGGCGCGAAAGCCAGGGGAGCAAACGGG
Molecule: ribosomal RNA, 253 nt
Filed under: uncultured bacterium
Lineage: Bacteria
Also listed under: 1 other name
Description: partial 16S ribosomal RNA
Rfam family: Bacterial small subunit ribosomal RNA
Source: RNAcentral